UAGUCCUACGGGAGGCAGCAGUGGGGAAUAUUGCACAAUGGGCGAAAGCCUGAUGCAGCAACGCCGCGUGAAGGAAGACGGUUUUCGGAUUGUAAACUUCUGUUCUUAGUGAAGAAUAAUGACGGUAACUAAGGAGCAAGCCACGGCUAACUACGUGCCAGCAGCCGCGGUAAUACGUAGGUGGCAAGCGUUGUCCGGAAUUACUGGGUGUAAAGGGAGCGUAGGCGGGAGAGCAAGUCGACUGUGAAAUCUAUGGGCUUAACCCAUAGCUGCGAGCGAAACUGUUCAUCUUGA
This 294-nucleotide ribosomal RNA is filed under the name uncultured bacterium. RNAcentral's name for it is "partial 16S ribosomal RNA". It matches the Rfam family "Bacterial small subunit ribosomal RNA", at positions 334 to 645 of the family's 1533-position model. The record is from RNAcentral.